GUCCAAUCUGGUCAGGUCAGAGACAAAAUUUCAGAGGGCUUCCUGGACCCGGCAGCCAACAGCCCAGAAGCAAGGCCCACCUAGCCUCGGGAGCCUUUGUCCUGGGGCAGAUGGUCAGCGCGGGCACGACAGGAGGGGCCCUCUGGACCACUCCCCGAGGACCCAGGACUCUCCUAGAGACAGGGCCUUGGAUCCUGGGACAGAGGGAAGCAGAGGCCUUGCGAGUUGGCGGUAGCGGCGUCCGUGACCUCCACCCCCUGAGCUGCGGGACCCGGUGACUCCCAGGAAGAGCACGAGCCUCUGCCGGCCGCUCCAGCAGCCACUCCCUUCCCGCCUCCCGCUAGCUGCCGCGGGCGGCAGGGGACUGAGGGUCAAACCCGAACUCCAGCGGUUCCCCUCAGAUAGUGGGACCAACCCGGAGCUCCAGUGCGGCAGGACCCGGCCCGGGCUGCCCCAGCUGCGCCUCGCUUCCGGCUACAAGUUUGCCCCGUGCCCGCCAAAUUGGUGAGUCUGGAAGCUUCUCUUGGGCUCCAGGAAGAGGGUCCCUGCUUCUGCUUCGGCUGUUCCCCACACGGCCAAGUCGGGGGCGUCACCCCCAGUCUGUAGGUGUCGCUGGAUCUUGCGCCCCCUGCAACACCUGUUUCCCAGAGCGUCUGGCGAGGACUCUGCGUUAGCGAAGCGGCGCGCACACGAACACACACGCCCUGACCACACACACACACGGGCCAGGCGAAUACACACGCCCUGACCACACACACACACACACACACACACACACACACACACACACACACACACACACACACGGGCCAGGAGAGAGGCGUAAGGCCCCGUUUCACAGACGUUUGGUGGAGCUGCAACGGUAUCCUUUAGACUUGCCGAAAAAGAGAUUUCGAAGGGCAUCACAAGCAUUCUUCUGAACUUCCAAAACUCUGUGGCCCAAAAGAGAAAGCAAGACAUUGAGAGGUUUGGUAGUAUGCCCAUACUUGCAUGUCUGUGCACCAAGAAGCAAGAAGCCAAAGACAGCUGUUUCUGACUACAAAGACCAUUCUCGCUUUACCAUACCAUGCAACAACUUGGACUAUCAGGAUCCCCUCCAGGAUGCCACAUUACAAUUAGUCUUUACAUCUUCUUGGAUUCCUCUUAGCUGUGAUAGCUUCAUCAGAUUUUCCUUGUUUUUGAUGACCUUGACAAUAUUGACGAGUACUGGUCAGGCAUGGAUGGGUGUUUACAUCAUUUUUUACAACAGUGGAGUUUGCACUAUUGCUUUGAAAAUCCUUGCUUGACAGCAUUCCAGGCACACAUUAGGAACAGACAGUCCACCCACCAGGCACAUUUACUUCUUGUGCCAGAACUCCAUCUGUAUUUCGAAACUGCUGGUAGGCCUCAUCCAGUCAGCUGAGACCUGAAUUAAACAAAAUGCCUGAAUAAGAGGGAAUUUCCUCCUGCGUGACUGCCUUGAGGUGGAACAUCAGUGUUUUUGCUGCCAUCAGACUCAUACUGAAACGCUGGUCUUUCUGGAUCCCAAGCCUCUAGGCCUUUGGACUGGAACUGCACCAUCAGCAUUUCUGUGUCUCCAGCUUGUCAACUGCAGAUCUGGGGACUUGUCAGCCUUCAUGAUGACGUGAAUAAUGAAACAAAUGAUGAUACAUCCACACCACAGAAUCCUACUCAGCAAGAAAAAUAAACUAUUACUGCCUGCACAAAUUGGAUAAACCUCAAGGGAGUUACUCUG
This 1735-nucleotide long non-coding RNA is filed under the name Homo sapiens (human). RNAcentral describes it as "HSALNT0046523". The record is from RNAcentral. Lineage: Eukaryota; Metazoa; Chordata; Mammalia; Primates; Hominidae.